Molecule: ribosomal RNA, 358 nt
Filed under: uncultured bacterium
Lineage: Bacteria
Description: partial 16S ribosomal RNA
Rfam family: Bacterial small subunit ribosomal RNA
Source: RNAcentral
CCUACGGGAGGCUGCAGUGAGGAAUAUUUGUCAAUGGACGAGAGUCUGAACCCGCCAAGUAGCGUGAAGGAUGACUGCCCUAUGGGUUGUAAACUUCUUUUAUAUGGGAAUAAAACAGGGUAUGCAUACCCUCUUGUAUGUACCAUAUGAAUAAGGAUCGGCUAACUCCGUGCCAGCAGCCGCGGUAAUACGGAGGAUACGAGCGUUAUCCGGAUUUAUUGGGUUUAAAGGGUGCGGAGGUGGGUUGGUAAGUAAGUUGUGACAGUUUGCGGCUUAACCGUAAAAUGGCAGUUGAAACUGGCAGUCUUGAGUACAGGAGAGGUUGGCGGAAUUCGGGGUGUAGCGGUGAAAUGCUUAG